UUUGUAUGUGUACUUUGAGUAUGUUUAACAAUCCACUUCCUUCAGUGAAUUCUCUCCCAUCUUCAUUUGUAAAUAGAAAAAAAACAUUUUAGGAUUAAAGGAUAGUAGCCUUCUGCUGAAUAGUGGCAACUAUUGUCCCAACUCUGCCCCAAAAUGUCAAUAUGUGUGUUUUGCAUAUUUGAAGAUCAGUAUUUUAUUUCUGCAUUUUAUUGGAGGGGAAAAGUAUAUGUUCUAAGUCAGAGCUAUUGAGUGAAUCAGGAAAUUCCAUAUAAGCUUUAGAUCCUUUUUUAUUUUAAGGCCAUGUUAAACAGUCUAUAUAUAAAUUAUUUUUCAUCUUUCAAGAUAGUUGAUUGUUUUAUGUUUCAGAGUAUUAAAAAAUCAUUUGACAAGCCUUUGUAAUGAUUAAUUUAUGGUUUGCCUUAAAGAUACAUGUUCUCUAAAAAAUUAUUUCAUAAAACAAAGUGCUCAAAUUCUCUGUAGAAUUUGUCAGAUUACAGAAUAGUAAAAUUGGGUUAAUGAUGCUAAUGAAAUCUUAGUCAUCAAAAUUGGUAUAGUUAGCCUUUGCCAAAAUUAUCAUCUUAAUGAUAGAUUUGCAUGUUCAAGAAAAUGAGUAACAGAUGAAUGAUCAUUCUGAGUCACUAGAAUUAAAGAGUCCACCUUUCCCCGGCCCCUCCCCCCCCCCCCCCCCCCCCCCCCCCCCCCCCCAAUUUGGUAGAAUUCAUUUUGAACCAGACAGCGUUUUUAUUUUAGAGAUAUACUACUUCCACAGUACUGUUUAGUAGUGAAUUAGCUUGGAAAAAACUGUAAAACUAGCAUUGUCACAGUUUGAAAAGCUGAUUUGUAUGAAAUAAUAAGUAGUAUAGAGCUGGAAAUGUGAGUAAAGUUUUUUUGCUUCUUAAUUUGAAAAAAUGUAUUGGUACCGUUUACAGUUGUUAUAUAAAUGAAUUCUUGAAGGUACACUACUAUGAUGUUGAAUAUGACUUAUAAAAAGAAUGGUAUGUAGAAAUAAGUGUAACGUGGACAAUAGCAGUGAGAAUGCCUAAUUUUUUUUUAUUGUUUCAAUGUAGGAAACUAUCAUAAAUCAUUUUUCCCAAAAAAAACUUAAUUGACUACUUGAUUCUCUACUAAAAGACUGAUUUCAUUCUGAGUUGCAUUGUUUGUAGAUUUUUAGUCCUAUGUUGCCUUUUUGUCUUCCCUGAUUUCAUUAAUUUUACCAAAGAAAUUUACAGACCAAAUAUGAUUUUUAAAUUAUCUUGGAUUUGUACAAUUCUUCCUUCCCCCCCUUUUUUUUUUUUAAUUUGGAAAAAAAGUAAACGGAAUAGAUUUUUUGAAAUAUAGAUUAUCUAUAGAUAUACUACACUUGGGGGUCUGGGUAGAAUUCUUAGAGAUUUCUAUUCUUUUUUCUUUACUUGAAAUAAAUUGAUUUUUGUCCUUAUUCUAAUGGUGAUUUCUAUUAAUUUUAAGCUAACUUAAAAUAUAUAGAAUAGAAGAUCUGAUUGUGUCUAUGAAACAAAGUAAGAAUUAGAAAUAUUUUUCAUAAGAAAGUCAUAUAGAAGAUAAAGCCAUUUUCAAUAAAAGAUACAUAUAAAUUCAUAUGUUAUUGCCUACUGAAGACUUCUCAUGGCACAUGUAAUGUGACAUCUUUUCUAUGUCUUUUCACCAAUUUAUGUAGGAGACUAAAGAUCCUACAAUAUGCCAAUUUUGAAUAGAACAAUUUAAAAAUCAGUAACUCAUCUUCAAACUGAGAGGUAGAGCCUCCAAGAAAAAUAAGAAUUGGCCUCAGGCCAUGGAUGAGCUCAGAAGGGACUUGGAAAAUCAAGUAAGAGAGAGAGAAGAAAAAUUAGGGGGGAAAAAAGGAAAAAGAAAAAGCUAAUGAAGAGAAUGCCAUAAAAAAAUUGGCCAUUUAGUAAAGGAGGUACAAAAGCUCACUGAGGAAAAUAAUUUCUUAAAAAAUAGAAUUGAAGGGCAGCUAGAUGGUGCAGUGAAUAGAGCACUAGCCCUGACAUUAGGACAUAAUUCAAAUCUGGCCUCAGAUACUUAACACUUCCUAGCUGUGUGACCCUGGGCAAGUCACUUAACCCCAAUUACCUCAGCCCCUACCCACCAAAAAAAGGAAGAAAGAAAAAAAAUUGAAUUGAACAAAUGGAAGCUAAUGAUUAUGAGAUAUCAUAGAAAAUCAAGAUACAUUAAAGUAAAAUCAAAAAAAAGAAAAAAAAAUUGAAAUAUCAAAUUGGAAAAAUAACUGACCUGGAAAAUAGAUACAGGAGAAAUAAUUUUAAAAUUAUUGGUCUUCUUGAAAGUCAUGAUAAAAAAGAGCGAGAGUGAGAGAACUUGGACAUCAUCAUCUUUCAAAUUGAGAGGUAGAGUGGAUGGAUCUGAGCACUAGGCAUAUUAAUACUCCCAGACAACUUGCUAUAAUCAAGUUAGAGAUGAUUAGUUCAUCAUCAACCUUCAAGGAGGUCUUCAUACCUCAUCACUACACUGAUGAAAUCAGAUCUGGACCAAAAAACACCUUAUUAAUGUGACAUGCCACAGGAAAGUCACAGAAAUGGACCUCUUUAAAUUAGCACUCACAAACAUUUCUGCUAGAUUUGUUUGUGGCAUAUGGGGGAAUGUAAUUGGUAAAAUGGGUAAUUUCUUCACCUAUAAUUUAUGAGUAAUUACUCAGGAUUUUUUUUUCUUUAUAGUUAUCUUGAGCUAAGAAUUAUUUAUGUGUAAUGUGAGCUGAUUGGAUUAUUACUCUUAAAUCUGCCAUUUUAACUAGUCAUUUUAUUAAAAAUAAGAAAUGUGAUCAAGAAAAUAAGAUGCUGUACUCAAGUCGCUUCUGCAUACUGUUUUUCCUUAACAGAGAAAUUAGAAAAAUGAUUAAUGGUUUGGUAAGUUUAACCAGACCAUUUUGAAGCUAUAAAUAGGUUUGUUUUCUAGACAUUAGGAGGGUAUUUUUUUUUUUAAGUUUUAUUAAGAAAACUGUACUGAGAAGUAUGCCCCUCAUGUGGUCUUUUUAACAUUUGUAAUAAAUUCAUAUACUUUACAAUGAAUCUUUUUGAUUCUUAUCCUUGAAAUUAUACUGGAUUUACAUUCAGUUUGACUAGCUAAGAGAUACAGUCUUUAAUGGUUAAAAGAUUAUUUUCAUACUUGUUUCUCAUGCUAGUUUGGCUCUUCUGAGCUAAGGUUUCUGAAGGACUUUUAUGACUUUGGCAUUGUAUAGUUUUCUCUGUCUUAAUAGAAAAGGAAGCAGUAAAUAAACCCUUGCUGAGAAUGUUUAUUAGAUGAAAAGAUGUGGACCAUGUUAAAAAAAAAAACAAAAACAAAUAAACCCUUAUUUUUCACCAGCAUUAAAUUGAUGGUUGCACUAACCUGCUUAACUAUUUAAGAUUUAUUGCUGGUGAAAAUUUAUCUAAAAAAUGAGAUCUCUUCUGUGUGAUGUCCCUUAACGUAGGACCAGUAAAAAUCUUCAUUCUUUUAGAACUGAGGGUGACACACACAUUGAAGAUCAUGUGCAUGUAAGCCAUUAUUUUAAUAAUUGUCUUACUGAAACUGGUUAAUGCUAUUGACUGUUGUUGAAAUGUGAAAUAUAUUUACUGUUGACCUUGUAAAUAUCUGCCAGAGAUUUAAAAAAAAUAUUUUAAGUCAUUGUAAAUAGAGAUGUAAAAAAUUCAUUAUCAGUCUGCCAAGCAGAAAAGAAUAUCUAAAAAAUGUUAAAUAAAUAUUGUGUUUCUGGAGAGCUGUGUACUUUUUUUUUUCCCUGAAUAAACCUUAUUUAUGUAUGUGGAUUUUUUUUUUUUUUUUAAAUAUAAAGGGACUCAAUGCUUCCCUUCAGCUAUCAGUGUUGAUUUCUUGUAUUUGAAUCUUCAUUACGUCCUCUUAAGAUAUUCUUAGUUUAUUUAUGUAAAUAUCCUAGAACUUUCUUAAUCCCUCUACUAUAGCCU
Molecule: long non-coding RNA, 3929 nt
Organism: Sarcophilus harrisii (Tasmanian devil)
Lineage: Eukaryota; Metazoa; Chordata; Mammalia; Dasyuromorphia; Dasyuridae
Source: Ensembl